RNAcentral lists this long non-coding RNA (319 nucleotides) under Homo sapiens (human). RNAcentral's name for it is "non-protein coding lnc-DPF3-3:1". Lineage: Eukaryota; Metazoa; Chordata; Mammalia; Primates; Hominidae. The record is from RNAcentral.
AUGGCUCUGCGCUACCUUAUGGCCGUGGGCCUCAACAAGGGCCACAAGGUGACCAAGAACGUGAGCAAGCCCAGGCACAGCCGCCGCCGCGGGCGUCUGAGCAAACGCACCAAGUUUGUAGCGGGACAUGAUCCGGGAGGUGUGUGGCUUCGCUUCGUACGAGCUGCGCGCCAUGGAGUCACUGAAGGUCUUCAAGGAGAAAUGGGCCCUCAAGUUCAUCAAGAAAAGGGUGGGGACGCACAUCCGUGCCAAGAGGAAGCGGGAGGAGCUGAGCAAGGUACUGGCUGCCAUGAGGAAAGCCGCUGCCAAGAAAGACUGA